RNAcentral lists this ribosomal RNA (484 nucleotides) under uncultured bacterium. Its description in RNAcentral is "partial 16S ribosomal RNA". It matches the Rfam family "Bacterial small subunit ribosomal RNA", at positions 30 to 507 of the family's 1533-position model. The record is from RNAcentral.
AUUGAACGCUGGCGGAAUGCUUUACACAUGCAAGUCGAACGGCAGCACGGGGGCAACCCUGGUGGCGAGUGGCGAACGGGUGAGUAAUACAUCGGAACGUGCCCGGUCGUGGGGGAUAACGUAGCGAAAGUUACGCUAAUACCGCAUACGAUCUGAGGAUGAAAGCGGGGGACCUUCGGGCCUCGCGCGAUCGGAGCGGCCGAUGUCAGAUUAGGUAGUUGGUGGGGUAAAGGCCUACCAAGCCGACGAUCUGUAGCUGGUCUGAGAGGACGACCAGCCACACUGGGACUGAGACACGGCCCAGACUCCUACGGGAGGCAGCAGUGGGGAAUUUUGGACAAUGGACGCAAGCCUGAUCCAGCCAUUCCGCGUGCAGGACGAAGGCCUUCGGGUUGUAAACUGCUUUUGUAUGGAACGAAAAGGCUCUGGCUAAUACCUGGGGCUCAUGACGGCACCGGAAGAAUAAGCACCGGCUAACUACGUG